GUGCUUGCACGGGUGAUUAGUGGCGAACGGGUGAGUAACACGUGAGUAACCUGCCCCCGACUUUGGGAUAAGCCCGGGAAACUGGGUCUAAUACCGGAUAUGACUUCUUACCGCAUGGUGGGUUGUUGAAAGAUUUAUCGGUGGGGGAUGGACUCGCGGCCUAUCAGCUUGUUGGUGAGGUAAUGGCUCACCAAGGCGACGACGGGUAGCCGGCCUGAGAGGGUGACCGGCCACACUGGGACUGAGACACGGCCCAGACUCCUACGGGAGGCAGCAGUGGGGAAUAUUGCACAAUGGGCGAAAGCCUGAUGCAGCGACGCCGCGUGAGGGAUGACGGCCUUCGGGUUGUAAACCUCUUUCAGUAGGGAAGAAGCGAAAGUGACGGUACCUGCAGAAGAAGCGCCGGCUAACUACGUGCCAGCAGCCGCGGUAAUACGUAGGGCGCAAGCGUUAUCCGGAUUAUUGGGCGUAAAGAGCUCGUAGGCGGUUUGUCGCGUCUGCCGUGAAAGUCCGAGGCUCAACCUCGGAUCUGCGGUGGGUACGGGCAGACUAGAGUGAUGUAGGGGAGACUGGAAUUCCUGGUGUAGCGGUGAAAUGCGCAGAUAUCAGGAGGAACACCGAUGGCGAAGGCAGGUCUCUGGGCAUUUACUGACGCUGAGGAGCGAAAGCAUGGGGAGCGAACAGGAUUAGAUACCCUGGUAGUCCAUGCCGUAAACGUUGGGCACUAGGUGUGGGGGAAUUCCACGUUUUCCGCGCCGUAGCUAACGCAUUAAGUGCCCCGCCUGGGGAGUACGGCCGCAAGGCUAAAACUCAAAGGAAUUGACGGGGGCCCGCACAAGCGGCGGAGCAUGCGGAUUAAUUCGAUGCAACGCGAAGAACCUUACCAAGGCUUGACAUGUGCCAGACCGCCUCAGAGAUGGGGUUUCCUUCGGGGCUGGUUCACAGGUGGUGCAUGGUUGUCGUCAGCUCGUGUCGUGAGAUGUUGGGUUAAGUCCCGCAACGAGCGCAACCCUCGUUCCAUGUUGCCAGCACGUAGUGGUGGGGACUCAUGGGAGACUGCCGGGGUCAACUCGGAGGAAGGUGGGGAUGACGUCAAAUCAUCAUGCCCCUUAUGUCUUGGGCUUCACGCAUGCUACAAUGGCCGGUACAAUGGGUUGCGAUACUGUGAGGUGGAGCUAAUCCCUAAA
RNAcentral lists this ribosomal RNA (1187 nucleotides) under Arthrobacter sp. Its description in RNAcentral is "bacterial SSU rRNA". It matches the Rfam family "Bacterial small subunit ribosomal RNA", at positions 76 to 1279 of the family's 1533-position model. Lineage: Bacteria; Bacillati; Actinomycetota; Actinomycetes; Micrococcales; Micrococcaceae. The record is from RNAcentral.